GUAAGGAAUAUUGGACAAUGGAGGCAACUCUGAUCCAGCCAUGCCGCGUGAAGGAAUAAGGCCCUAUGGGUUGUAAACUUCUUUUAGACGGGACAAAACCCCUUUACGUGUAAAGGGUUGAUGGUACUGUCAGAAUAAGCAUCGGCUAACUUCGUGCCAGCAGCCGCGGUAAUACGAAGGAUGCAAGCGUUAUCCGGAAUUAUUGGGUUUAAAGGGUGCGUAGGCGGACUAAUAAGUCAGUGGUGAAAGCCUGCAGCUUAACUGCAGAAUUGCCAUUGAUACUGUUAGUCUUGAGUACAGUUGAGGUAGGCGGAAUGUGUCAUGUAGCGGUGAAAUGCUUAGAUAUGACACAGAACACCGAUUGCGAAGGCAGCUUGCUAGGCUGUAACUGACGCUGAGGCACGAAAGCGUGGGGAGCAAACA
This 423-nucleotide ribosomal RNA is filed under the name uncultured bacterium. Its description in RNAcentral is "bacterial SSU rRNA". It matches the Rfam family "Bacterial small subunit ribosomal RNA", at positions 354 to 774 of the family's 1533-position model. The record is from RNAcentral.